RNAcentral lists this unclassified non-coding RNA (508 nucleotides) under Hevea brasiliensis (rubber tree). The record is from RNAcentral. Lineage: Eukaryota; Viridiplantae; Streptophyta; Magnoliopsida; Malpighiales; Euphorbiaceae.
GUGAUUGGUAAGUUUUGCCUCUUUUAACUGUCCAUUUCAUUAAAUUUACAUCACAUUGUACAUUUUUAUUUAUGGAAUAAAGUGAAAAAGAAUCAUGAUAACUGGAUCAGUAGAUUUUAAAUAUUAGAAAAUAUUAAAUUUUGUUCCCAGUGCCAUAUAAUUCCCAAUGAUCUCUUAUUUUUGUACCAUCGGAUAAAAACAGGAUUUAUAAAGUUUCUCAUGCUAUGGUGGUAGUCAUAACAGAUCCAAUCUUCGAAUGUUAAGCUGUACAUGACAUGUCACUUUCCCUAUCUGUCUGGGUGAUGCCUUUUUCAUUUCUAUCAAUAAUUUUACAAAUUAAUUCUCAAUCUGAUUAAGCAAGGAAAUUCGUCAUUCACAAUUUCUUAGUGGAAUGAAGAUGUCUAAUUGUCUAAGAUUCCAACAAUAGUUGACAAAAGGGGCUUGUGCCCAAUACAAACUGCAGGAAACAUGUAAACAAGCAAGCACACGUUGAUGUGUAUUUUUCCAU